RNAcentral lists this ribosomal RNA (262 nucleotides) under uncultured bacterium. Its description in RNAcentral is "partial 16S ribosomal RNA". It matches the Rfam family "Bacterial small subunit ribosomal RNA", at positions 29 to 277 of the family's 1533-position model. The record is from RNAcentral.
AAUGAACGCUGGCGGCGCGCCUAAUACAUGCAAGUCGAGCGAGAAGACGUAGCAAUACGUUUGUAAAGCGGCGAACGGGUGAGGAAUACAUGGGUAACCUACCCUCGAGUGGGGAAUAACUAGCCGAAAGGUUAGCUAAUACCGCGUACGCUUCUUGGACUUUCGGUUCAGGGAGGAAAGCGAUGCCGGAGGGUAUCGCGCUCGUUGGAUGGGCUCAUCGUCCUAUCAGUCUUGUUGGGAGGUAACGGCUCACCAAGGCUUC